GACGAACGCUGGCGGCGUGCUUAACACAUGCAAGUCGAACGGUGAAGCGCGUUCCUUUUUGGUGUGUGUGGAUGAGUGGCGAAGGGGUGAGUAACAGGUGAGUAACCUUCCCCGUUCUUCUGGAUAACCGCAUGAAAGUGUUGCUACUACGGAAUAUUCUGGGUCUGUCGCAUGAUGGGUCUGGGAAAGAUAUUGUUUCGGUGGGGGAUGGGUUCGCGGCCUAUCAGCUUGUUGGUGGGGUGAUGGCCUACCAAGGCGGUGACGAGUAGCCGGCCUGAGAGGAUGGACGGUCACAGUGGGACUGCGACGCCGAGAAGACUCCGACGGGAGGCAGCAGGGGGUAAUAUUGCACGGGGGGAGGAAGGCUGAAGCAACGACGCGGCGUGAGGGAUGGACUUCUGCGGGUUGUGAACUUCUUUCGGGAGAGAAGCAGGCGUGCCUCGUUUGUGCGUGGGUUGACGGUAGCUGGAGAAGAAGCGCCGGCUAACUACGUG
This 494-nucleotide ribosomal RNA is filed under the name uncultured bacterium. RNAcentral describes it as "partial 16S ribosomal RNA". It matches the Rfam family "Bacterial small subunit ribosomal RNA", at positions 28 to 507 of the family's 1533-position model. The record is from RNAcentral.